RNAcentral lists this ribosomal RNA (460 nucleotides) under uncultured bacterium. RNAcentral describes it as "partial 16S ribosomal RNA". It matches the Rfam family "Bacterial small subunit ribosomal RNA", at positions 338 to 795 of the family's 1533-position model. The record is from RNAcentral.
CCUACGGGAGGCAGCAGUGAGGAAUAUUGGUCAAUGGACGAGAGUCUGAACCAGCCAAGUAGCGUGAAGGAGGACGGUCCUAUGGGUUGUAAACUUCUUUUAUAAAGGAAUAAAGCGAGGCACGUGUGCCUUGUUGCAUGUACUUUAUGAAUAAGGAUUGGCUAACUCCGUGCCAGCAGCCGCGGUAAUACGGAGGAUUCGAGCGUUAUCCGGAUUUACUGGGUUUAAAGGGAGCGUAGUUGGGUUGUUAAGUCAGUUGUUAAAGUUUGCGGCUCAACCGUAAAAUUGCAAUUGAUACUGGCAGUCUUGAGUACAGUUGAGGUAGGCGGAAUUCGUGGUGUAGCGGUGAAAUGCUUAGAUAUCACGAAGAACCCCGAUUGCGAAGGCAGCUUACUAAACUGUGACUGACAUUGAUGCUCGAAAGUGUGGGUAUCAAACAGGAUUAGAUACCCCUGUAGUC